GGAAAUGAACUAAGUGAUGCCCUUUAUACUAACGCGCAUAUCCAUUUCACAAUGCCAUGGACCAAUGUUCUCAUCUCAGUUGUGACUUAACUCUCUCUCCCCAACGAGCGAGGGGCUGAAUGAUCACCUUAGUCUUCACCGGAAGAAUUCUCCUGGGAUGACUUCAAGGAGUUGUCUUGUAGGGAGGCAACAUCAGCUCAAGGGAGAAGGCCUCUUGGUUUAAGGAAGGAGACCUCUGUUGAGGCUCACAGAUGUCCGAGUUGCUGAAUAUCCUGGGUGAACAGAAGAGAUUGGUGUUCUCCAACUGGGGUCACUGGAACUUCUGUCUUCAUAGGAGACCUGACUUCCAUUUGCCUCUGAUGCUCAGGCACAGCCCUCGGACGUGGACAUCAUCAAACGUCCUCUUCGCCUUGGAAGGGGGCAAACAAAAUCCAUAUUUCAACUCCAUUUUCUCACUGGGAGGAGAGAGGGGCAGGUACCAGUAAGAUAAGACAGAAAAUGAAGAAAGGAGAUAAGAGAAAAAAAAAGAUGUCUGACUAAAUGAGGGUGCCAGUGCUCCUUGGAGUCAGAAAACGCUGAUUCCGGCUCUGGGAAGAAAGUGAUCCUGGACCAGCCUCUUGCUCCAGAAGGUGAGAAAGCCUCCUGUUCUUCCGGUCACGACAGAAGGAAUCAGAAGCCGACUAAAAAGUUUUUCCAGGGGCCACAUAGAGACAAUUUUAGCGUCAAACAAAUGAUAACUACAAUUGACGGCAACACGUUGGACCCAUUAGGUCAGACUGAUGCUGGGAAUAAAGGCAGAACAGAAACAUAAAGUUUUUUUUAAAAAAAUUUCACCCUUUUUAAAGAAUAAAUUAUUCUGAAAACUAGUGAAGGUAGCGCAUAAAACAAGCAUUUAUCUCAUUUUAUUUGUGGAAACUGUGCUUUGGGGGAACAAAUGAGUGUUGAAGGAAUGGUCUUUAUAGAUGAAAUCUGGGCAAUACAAGAGGAAAUCGGAACUAUUAGGUUGGUGGAAAAACCGUGAUUACUUUUGCACCAACCUGAUACAAUAUCCCAGUUGGGCAAUCUCGAAUGACGCAAGAUGAGCGUCAUCAUCAUCAUUGCUGCCAACCCAUCUGGUGAGGAGCUGGGAGAGAGCGUGGAAACACUGAGCCGGCGGCUCCAUCGUUACAACGCCGCAGGCAAACAAGGGGAAUUCUGGGAGAGAGCGUGGAAACACUGAGCCGGCGGCUCCAUCGUUACAACGCCGCAGGCAAACAAGGGGAAUUCUGGGAGAGAGCGUGGAAACACUGAGCCGCGGCUCCAUGGUUACAACGCCGCAGGCAAACAAGGGGAAUUCUGGGAGAGAGCGUGGAAACACUGAGCCGGCGGCUCCAUCGUUACAACGCCGCAGGCAAACAAGGGGAAUUCUGGGAGAGAGCGUGGAAACACUGAGCCGGCGGCUCCAUCGUUACAACGCCACAGGCAAACAAGGGGAAUUCUGGGAGAGAGCGUGGAAACACUGAGCCGGCGGCUCCAUGGUUACAACGCCGCAGGCAAACAAGGGGAAUUCUGUGGCUCCAGUGUGACACGGUGAGGGGCGCACAUCGCCGUGAACUCCUUUUUCCCCCACAAAAAUCCGAAUCAAAUUAAGCCUCUACAUUAGCGCUGUUCAACAGAAAUAUCACGUGAGCUAUCUUACAGUAUUUAAGACAGGAAUCUUAAAUUUUCUAGUAACCACGUUAAAAAGGUAAAAAGAAAUUGUUGAAAUUAAUCGUAUGUUUUAUUUAUCCCAAUGUACCAAAAAUAUAAUUUCAUAAUGUUAUCGAUGUAAAAAGUAUUGAUGUGAUAUUUUACAUUUUUUCAUACAUCUUUGAAAUCUUGUGUAAAUUUUGCAUUAGCAGUACAUCUUCCAUUGCUGAUUUCUCAUUGGAAAUAGUCUGUAUUUAGAGUUUGUAAAAUUUCCAGCUGAAAAACUAGAUUUGUGAGCCGCAGUUGCUCCAGUCGUACUUGAAAAUCUUCCAACAACCAAAUAGAGUGUGUUUUAAAAUUUACAUUAAUUUCAAUUAACUAAUAUUAAAAGUUUUACAGAAGCCACAUUUCAAGUGUUGAACAGCCACACGUACUAGUGGCAAGUGUGUUAAACAGCACAUAUGUAAAUCUCGUCACCAGUCCACAGGAACGCACAUGGUACCAAGAAGGGAAAGAAGAUACCACGUAUGUGCAGUCACUCAAUUCAGAGUGUGGAAAAUGCUACAGGGUAAGGAAUCUGGUUAAUUGCAAUUAAAAAAAGAGAGAGAGAUAACCUGUAUAUAAAAUAAAUUUAAGAGACUUGUCC
RNAcentral lists this long non-coding RNA (2314 nucleotides) under Homo sapiens (human). Its description in RNAcentral is "non-protein coding lnc-KLF6-12:4". The record is from RNAcentral. Lineage: Eukaryota; Metazoa; Chordata; Mammalia; Primates; Hominidae.